CAGUAGCCGCGGGAAAACGAAGGGGGCUAGCGUUGCUCGGAAUGACUGGGCGUAAAGGGCGCGUAGGCGGAUGAUACAGUCAGAUGUGAAAUUCCUGGGCUUAACCUAGGGGCUGCAUUUGAUACGUACUGUCUAGAGUGAGGAAGAGGGUCGUGGAAUUCCCAGUGUAGCGGUGAAAUGCGUAGAUAUAUGGAGGAACACCGGUGGCGAAAGCGGCUCUCUGGUCUGUCACUGACGCUGAGGCUCGAAAGCGUGGGUAGCGAACAGGAUUAGAUACCCGCGUAGUCCCUGUCUCUUAUAC
This 301-nucleotide ribosomal RNA is filed under the name uncultured bacterium. RNAcentral describes it as "partial 16S ribosomal RNA". It matches the Rfam family "Bacterial small subunit ribosomal RNA", at positions 509 to 807 of the family's 1533-position model. The record is from RNAcentral.